This 502-nucleotide ribosomal RNA is filed under the name uncultured bacterium. Its description in RNAcentral is "partial 16S ribosomal RNA". It matches the Rfam family "Bacterial small subunit ribosomal RNA", at positions 899 to 1397 of the family's 1533-position model. The record is from RNAcentral.
ACUCAAAGGAAUUGACGGGGGCCCGCACAAGCGGUGGAGUAUGUGGUUUAAUUCGACGCUACGCGCAGAACCUUACCAACCUUUGACAUGUCCACUAUGGGCCUGAGAGAUCAGGUCCUUCACUUCGGGUGGGUGGAACACAGGUGCUGCAUGGCUGUCGUCAGCUCGUGUCGUGAGAUGUUGGGUUAAGUCCCGCAACGAGCGCAACCCUCAUCUUUAGUUGCCAUCAGGUUAUGCUGGGCACUCUAGAGAAACUGCCGGUGACAAGCCGGAGGAAGGCGGGGAUGACGUCAAGUCCUCAUGGCCCUUACAGGUUGGGCUACACACGUACUACAAUGACGGUGACAAUGGGAUGCUAUCUCGCAAGAGAAUGCCAACCUCAAAAAACCGUCUCAGUUCGGAUUGUCCUCUGCAACUCGAGGGCAUGAAGCUGGAAUCGCUAGUAAUCGCGUAACAGCAUGACGCGGUGAAUACGUUCCCGGGCCUUGCACACACCGCCCGU